Olea europaea var. sylvestris is the source of this 358-nucleotide long non-coding RNA. RefSeq lists it as uncharacterized. Lineage: Eukaryota; Viridiplantae; Streptophyta; Magnoliopsida; Lamiales; Oleaceae. The transcript is spliced from 2 exons. The record is from RefSeq and is a predicted model, not a curated record.
UAUUUUUCCCGACAAUGAUUUUCAGUUUAACUUUUCCAACUCUGCUGGACCUCAAAACGACGCCGUUUUCUCUUCUCCUCCCAAAUUCCUCAAUUUCUGAAAAUAAAUAUCUAGAUCAAUUCGAAAUGAACAGUUCGAAAAUCCUCCACUUGGAUUAUUGAUCGAAGAUGUGAUUUACUCAAUUUUGAUUCUUUUCCUUUUCCUAUAGACUGAUUGAUAGAUCCACUUGCAUCACUCAAAGAUACAUUGACCAAGGUCUGGAGCAUAAAUAGACAUGGGUGCCUCAAAGAAAUGGAUCAAAGCGUUGAUUGGUUUCAAGAAUCAGGAGAAAUCUCAAUGUUGGGAGAAAGAUGAAAAU